Cajanus cajan (pigeon pea) is the source of this 1183-nucleotide long non-coding RNA. RefSeq lists it as uncharacterized. Lineage: Eukaryota; Viridiplantae; Streptophyta; Magnoliopsida; Fabales; Fabaceae. The record is from RefSeq and is a predicted model, not a curated record.
UAAAUGAACUUCCUCCUCAUACUACAUUUAUAUAUUCUUGAGUAAUUUAUAUAUUUUUAUAUUCUUGAAUCGAAAUGCAAAAUUGUAUGAUCGUAACUUAGUUGGCAGAUAAGUUGGAUUGUCAUGAUCUUAAAGUGAAAUGUGUAGACAGAAAUUUUGAUUUUAUUGUAUCCCUUUCCCUGUUGAUUGAUCCGUGCAGCAUUUCUUUGAGUUUUCUCACUCUCUCUCUCUCUCUCUCUCUGUACAUGCCAUCUAUCUACAUUUGUUUGAAGGUAGUGAGUGAAAAUGGGGUUGCACGUGGUGCCCGUGACUUUGGCGAAGGUGGCGAGGCAGAGUUUGGGCCCUGUGGUGGCUUGGACCGUUUGUCCUCUAGCGCUGAAGCUCUUGCUAAGUCUAAGGUUGUUCCGACAAGAAGCCGUUUACUCAACCAGGUUGUUCUUCUUCCGAUUCGGUCGGAUUUUCUUCAACAGGGAAAUACCAUUUGCCAAUGGCACAAGGUUCGAGCGAGCCUUCAGAUUAAUGUUCCAAACCCUUACCACUACAACUACAACACAAGAAGAACAACUCAACGACCAAACCUUUAAUACCAUCUUAACGCUCACACUUUAGUCGCUUUCUUUCAACCCUUUGCUACAUUUUAUUUGUUGGCCGGCUUUGGCAAAUUAAUGAGGAUUGCGGAAAUAAAUGCCGUACAAUUAUGCGUUUUAAUUAUUAUUAUGCCGUUUAGCAAAUAAUAGCAGUCCUACUCCUGUUCUGACCCAGAAAGGAGGAGAAAUUAAAGAGCAGGUGUGUGACCUUGCAGGGAAUUCAAUUUCAGCGAUGCCUUCACUGGAUCUUUUCGGACUGGGAUGCACUCUUGCCGAUUUAAAAACAAGGCACUUUAAUUAUGCGGUCCAAUUUUACAUCAUGUUCGUUCAUAUCAUGAACAUGGCAUCUGCACUUUUUAUCUAAUUUUGUUAAUGAAAGCUUAUGUCAGUCAGGUUUUGGGAGUUAAUUAGGACAAUUUAUGUAAUUUGGUACUCAAAGUUGCGUGGUUUCUUGAUUUUUAUCGGUUAUAAGUAUAUCUUCUCUUGCUUAGAAGAAUACCCGGAACAAGAUAUUAUCUUGCAUAAAAUUAUGUCUUUCUUAUUAAGCAUGUUUUUCUUCUACCAUUAAUAAUAGUUUGGAGCUUGUUAUUUUUUAA